AAAGGGUUCAAAUAAACACAGGCUGGUGUUCACUAGAAUGACACAACUAAAAUUCUAUUUUUAUUUUUAUUAUCUCAAUCUUGCAAAAAAUAGCCGGCAAAUGAUGAAUGAUCAUUUCCAAUAACUGCCUCUGUCUGGCCGAGGUGUCUAUGCUUAAUAUAAACACGAUCGCCUUUCUUUAAUUCAACCAAUACACUAAUACUACUUGCUUCGUGUGGUCCGUUGUUUGAAUAUCCGCUUACAUACAAUGAGUCGUUCUUGUUGAGUUGAUAACCGACGUCUUUUCCAUUGUCCCCAUAAAUCACACAACUGAAAUGAUACAAUCCAGUGAAGAUCCCUGUAGAUGGGUUGUAGCCUCCACCUCUAUUGACCUUUACUCCAUCAAAUAUCAACACUUUGUUAGAGUUGGAUAAAACAGCACUUUUCGACAAUGUUGAGAAGAAUGCAGGUCUAAUCUGUUUAUCUGCAAUGAAAAUGUCAUUUUUUAACAAUUAGAUUUU
This 500-nucleotide long non-coding RNA is filed under the name Mytilus galloprovincialis (Mediterranean mussel). Lineage: Eukaryota; Metazoa; Mollusca; Bivalvia; Mytilida; Mytilidae. The record is from RNAcentral.